This is a non-coding RNA of Mycena amicta, 90 nucleotides long. The record is from the annotation of a GenBank genome assembly. Lineage: Eukaryota; Fungi; Basidiomycota; Agaricomycetes; Agaricales; Mycenaceae.
UCUUGACUAGUAUAUCGGUUAGUACACGCGCUUGUCAUAACCAUGGCCGCUCUUUCGCGCGAAAGCUGGGUUCGAUUCCCAGGUCGAGAG